This is a non-coding RNA of Equus caballus (horse), 1914 nucleotides long. The record is from RefSeq and is a predicted model, not a curated record. NCBI's taxonomy places the organism in Eukaryota, Metazoa, Chordata, Mammalia, Perissodactyla, Equidae.
CCCCAUCCCGAACCCCCACCUCAAUUACUCUUGAGGGAGCAUAAAAUCCUCAUACUGACUAAUCGUGGGUACUUCCAAAUUAUUUGUCGGCUUCCACCCAGAUCUUGCAUUGAAAAUCUCAAAGAGAGAGUUUAGAUUUUCUUUCCUUCUCACUGCCUGACAUGACCAAAAUGUCAUGCAUCGCUACUGGCCUAUUGCUACAUCCAGGAGAGUCACUUGAGGAAUAGACAAAACUGGAGGAAAAAACACAUGGGUAAUUUAUCAUUACAUUGUCAUCAAAAGCAUGGAAUUCACCAAUGAUGCCUAGGAAGAAAUCGGGAUCAUUUAUCGAAUAGUGUAAAGAGAAUAUAGGAGAUGUCUCAGCUGAAGAGAAAGAAGCUACAAAAAGUAAUUAUGAAAAAGAUGGAGCAAUAAAAUGCAUCAGGAGAUUCAGGAGCAUAAACAGAGUUAAGGAAAAAAAUGACCCAUAUUUUCUUAGUUACUACUUAUGGAGAGCAGGGUCAAUUCCUAAAAGGUCAAUUAAUUCUGAUUCUGAUGUAUUUGAUGAUAAUGUUUAUUACUAAUGGUAAUUUGUAUUUUCAACUAUCAUCAUGUAAUGCUGAUAAUUUGCAUAUAUAAUUUAUAUUUCUAUAGUUAUUGCUUCUCUCCUCUUAGACUAGUGACCAUUAUUUUGAGCGACAAAAACAGUGCCUUGAGAUUAUCUGUCUGUUCAUUAUAUGUGUUAAGUUAUUGAAUUUUUGUCUUGCAUCAAUUUUUAUUUCAUUAAUUGAUUGUCAUUUAGAUGAUUCGGAUGUUUACACAUAAUUAUCAAGUCAAAUCUCAGUAUUUAUUUAGCAUUUCUCUCUUCAGUUAUGGUUGGAAAAUCUGCCCCUAACUUAAUAUUACAAAAACAUAUGCAGGUGUAUCUCCAGAUCGCUUUUACAUUUAAUUAUUCAUUCCAUUUUGACUAUUAUAGCUUAGCCUAGAGAAUUAAGUAAACAUGUAUUACUUCACUCCUACACACCGUUUAAACGCAGCUAAUAGACAGUGAAUAAACCGGCCCAUCCCCGGCGGGAUCAGGAGUUGCUUGCCCCGUAUGCUGUCCCCAGGCUGCAGCCGCCUGAGGGGACUCGCCCGGGGCCACGCCCUCAGAGCUCACACCCGCCGUGCGCUCUCGCCCCGGGGCCGCCCCGCCGACCCUCCCGCGCGGCUCUGCGCGCACAGGCCGGACGCUCGGAGCCGGCGCCGGGCCGCCCUGCUCUGCCUCCCCGACGCAGCGGCGCCUCUGGACCGAGCACGCGCACCAGCGGCCUCCGCGCAGGCUCCGUGCCCGCGCACGCGCCCUCGCGUCGCGCUCCUGGCGGAGAGACCUGCGCUCGGGCCGGGCUCCGGGCGGUUCUUGCGGUGCCGUUCCACCGGGACUUCCGCGCUUCGGCGGCCUUUCUGACGAGCCGCCGGCGCCCAGAGAUAUUCAGGUUGGAGCGACACUUCCCAGAGAGCAGGGGUCACUCCAGAUCUUCGGCUUCCAUUCCGUUUUCGCGCGGUUCUCCCUCUUUGCAGGCUGCUUGGCUGCAAGAGGGAAGUAGGAUAUUGAGCCCUAAAGGGAGAUUUCCAGCCAGGGGGCACCGAGGUUAGUUUGGGAAAGCCUAGAAAGUUCUCUACUUGGGAGCUCUGAGGGGCAGCUACUGUCUCAGAGCCUCGGGGUUCCCAGAGCUCGGACCCCAGAAACGUGCUGUAAACCUGUUCCCGUAGUCCAGGCUCUGUCCUCUUUUCCAUCUGUUUAUGUGUAUGAGCAGGGCGGGUGUGGACCUGGAGAGUGUCGUGUAAGGAAGUCAUUCUGUGCCCCAAGAACAGCCUGGUGCCUCCUGACUUCCUCCUCAGUCCUGCCAUCCCCAAAAGAAGAACCUUGAUGAGAGGAAAGAAUUGUUUUACACA